RNAcentral lists this long non-coding RNA (913 nucleotides) under Dicentrarchus labrax (European seabass). RNAcentral's name for it is "lncRNA (ENSDLAG00005030392.1)". The record is from RNAcentral. Lineage: Eukaryota; Metazoa; Chordata; Actinopteri; Moronidae.
AGGAAAUCCGAUGUCUUAAAAGAAUAGUUAAAAUGCAUAUUCUGGACUAUAGCCUGAAAGGUAGUAUUAGAUAUACACUUGUUUUCUUUAUAUCUCUGUAAAUAACAUGUUCUUCACUUUGUAAAGCUCAGUGACUCUUUGGUGGUAGUAACACAUGGUAAAUGUGUAUGGUUAUGUAAAUGUGUUGCAGGAUUCCAUUCAGAGCUGUUCCCUCUGUAAACUGUAAACUACGUAUCACAUGUAAGUCAAUUUGCAUUCGUUUUUGCAUUGCUUUCAAACCUUGUAAAAACUGUUUUGGGUUAUGUGCAAAUUUCCCAAAUACAACCUAUGUAUAGCUUGAACAGUGACAAGUUGUGUUUUAUGGACUGGGACCCAUCAUGAAGAACUGCUGGGUCUUUUCACUUCUCCUGGGUUCACUCUUCAUUCUUGGUCAUUGUGUUUUUCCUCCUGGUUCUUGUGAUGGAUACACAAACAUAACUGAACCAUGGCGUAACCAUUUAUUUAAAUCAUCUUCAUUUGUUGGCUACCCAAAGAAUGAUGCACAUCUUGUUAAUAAGUGGUGGCGCUUCACAGGGAUUGGUGGAGACAGAGUCAUUACAAGUUGCAAAGGAGGCCCUAUUGGUGGUACCCAAUACGCCAUCCGUGUUCCAUUUUCAUAUCCAACAACUGAAUCUGAAACUCCAACAACAGGAACUGCAUAUGGAGAUGUUGGAUCUUGUGCUGUGUAUGGCAUUACAAUGACAGUGUCGCUGUGUCCUGGAGGAUUCUACAUAUACAAACCAUCAAGUCACCCACGUAGCAGUAUGGGUUAUGUAACAUGUAAGGAAAGAUUGCUCAUUGUCGUCCUUUCCUUUAUACUUUAGUGUGGUCAUGUCCCAUUCAAUACUGUACUGAUGUACUGAUGUACUUUCUG